This 244-nucleotide small nuclear RNA is filed under the name Pediculus humanus corporis (human body louse). Its description in RNAcentral is "arthropod 7SK RNA". It matches the Rfam family "Arthropod 7SK RNA". The record is from Rfam by way of RNAcentral. Lineage: Eukaryota; Metazoa; Arthropoda; Insecta; Psocodea; Pediculidae.
GGAAGUGUGUGUGUCUUAGUGAUGGCACUGCUGAACAUUGAUCGCUCCCACUUCAGGCAGAUCUGCUCAGUUAAGGUGUAGUCACGUGGUUUACUUUAGCAGUUCAGGGACCUCCCGAUGCUACAAAUCGCACGGUGGAUGGUCCCGAGGACUCCUCGAUUGCCGCGAUUCCAAAUUGUUAGGCGUGAGGUUAAUCGAACUUCCAUAUAUCGGUACUACUGUGUGUAGUUUGCCAGUUUUUUUC